UAGUCCACGCUGUAAACGAUGGUUACUAGCUGUUUGGACUUCGGUCUGAGUGGCUAAGCGAAAGUGAUAAGUAACCCACCUGGGGAGUACGUUCGCAAGAAUGAAACUCAAAGGAAUUGACGGGGGCCCGCACAAGCGGUGGAGCAUGUGGUUUAAUUCGAUGAUACGCGAGGAACCUUACCAGGGCUUAAAUGUAGAUUGACAGGUUUAGAGAUAGACUUUUCUUCGGACGAUUUACAAGGUGCUGCAUGGUUGUCGUCAGCUCGUGCCGUGAGGUGUCAGGUUAAGUCCUAUAACGAGCGCAACCCCUGUUGUUAGUUGCCAGCGAGUCAAGUCGGGAACUCUAACAAGACUGCCAGUGCAAACUGCGAGGAAGGUGGGGAUGACGUCAAAUCAUCACGGCCCUUACGUCCUGGGCCACACACGUGCUACAAUGGUAGGGACAGAGAGCACGCCAACAAUGACGUAAGUUGGAGACGAAUCUAACUAAACCCUAUCUCUAGUUCGUAGUCGGUACG
Molecule: ribosomal RNA, 518 nt
Filed under: uncultured bacterium
Lineage: Bacteria
Description: bacterial SSU rRNA
Rfam family: Bacterial small subunit ribosomal RNA
Source: RNAcentral